RNAcentral lists this unclassified non-coding RNA (229 nucleotides) under plant metagenome. RNAcentral's name for it is "partial contains small subunit ribosomal RNA, internal transcribed spacer 1, and 5.8S ribosomal RNA". The record is from RNAcentral.
UCUCCGUAGGUGAACCUGCGGAGGGAUCAUUACAGAGUUCAUGCCCUACCGGGUAGAUCUCCCACCCAAUGUUAUUAUUACUUUGUUGCUUUGGCGGACCGUUAGGCUCCGGCCCGACUACCGGCCCCGGCUGGUAAGCGCCCGCCAGAGGACCCAAAACCCUGAAUAUUAGUGUCGUCUGAGUACUAUAUAAUAGUUAAAACUUUCAACAACGGAUCUCUUGGUUCUG